RNAcentral lists this ribosomal RNA (507 nucleotides) under Sardinella aurita (round sardinella). RNAcentral's name for it is "partial 12S ribosomal RNA". It matches the Rfam family "Bacterial small subunit ribosomal RNA", at positions 794 to 1527 of the family's 1533-position model. Lineage: Eukaryota; Metazoa; Chordata; Actinopteri; Clupeiformes; Clupeidae. The record is from RNAcentral.
GCCCUGCCGUAAACUUAGAUAUUUAAUCACAACAAAUAUCCGCCUGGGAACUACGAGCGUUAGCUUAAAACCCAAAGGACUUGGCGGUGCUUCAGACCCCCCUAGAGGAGCCUGUUCUAGAACCGAUAACCCCCGUUCAACCUCACUAUUCCUUGCUUUUCCCGCCUAUAUACCGCCGUCGCCAGCUUACCCUGUGAAGGUAUUACAGUAAGCAAAACGGGCAUUGCCCAGAACGUCAGGUCGAGGUGUAGCGUACGGAGUAGGAAGAAAUGGGCUACAUUAUCUGAAACAGAUUAUUCACGGAGGGUCACCUGAAACGGCGACCCGAAGGUGGAUUUAGCAGUAAGGGGAGAAUAGAGCGCCCCCCUGAAGCCGGCUCUGAAGCGCGCACACACCGCCCGUCACUCUCCCCAACAGCAUAACAACUAGUUAUUUAACCCAAGAACAGCUACAAGGGGAGGCAAGUCGUAACAUGGUAAGUGUACCGGAAGGUGCGCUUGGAAUAAC